CUAUGUGCAUGUCUGUGCAACCUGUUCCAGCACCUGGGCCAGCCAGUAUAUUGGCAACCCACAUCUCCAGCGUCCUUUCAUUGUUAUGUGCUCUAGUCCCCAGUGGCUCCUUUCAGCAGCAGGGGUUCCUCAGGCCAGCUGUGAAAAUCUGCCACAGCUCCUGACUUGUGUCACUCAGCCCCACCUGUGAACCUGGGAGCAGGAAGUUUUCUCCUCCAUUCCCAAAGAAAGAAAGAGAGUUCAUUGGGCUGCUGUGAGUGAUUUAUGCAGGGAAACGCAGCGAGUGGGAUUACUCCUGUACCCAAAGUUUUGCUUGCCCUGGCAGGCAAAAGCUCAAAGCACAGGUGCAGCCUGAAAGUUGGUAAUUCUCUGGAGAUGGAAGUUAAUUUUUAGCUCUAAGGAAUGGAUCAGGAUGUCCUGCAAAUAUCCUAGGUCUUUCUGGGACAUUUCAUCUACCAGACUGCAAUUGUAUUUACCAUUCUUUUCCACACCAAAACCAGGCACACUGGCAGGAGCUUUCUAGUUCUGUUUCAGACAGAGGACAAGUCAAGAGUCCUCUCAUUCAGCCAACUAACAGAGACCGUGAUGCAAGUACCCUAACUGGGGAGUCUCACUCAGCAGGGAAAUGCAGUGAAUGCGACUGCUGCUGUGCCCAAAGAUAUACUUGCCCUGGCAAAACUCAAAGAGCAGGUGGAGUAUGAAAACAGAUACCUUUUCAUAACUUGGGGCUGGGUUGCAUUGUCUGAUGUGCCACCCUCACCUGCAUGGCUCACCUUCCCUGCCCUCUGGCACAUCACAGCCAUACUUGGAAACCUGCUUCAUCACCUUGACUCCCUGAUAGGUGGGAAUGCCCUGUAAAUGAACACAGCUGAGCUGUGGGAUAGCAUAAAAGCCUCUCCACUGGAGCUGAGGGGUUUGGAGCGGUCAGGAAGAAGUUAAACUAUCCCACUGGGGAGGGGAGCCUGCACUUACAGGGGUUCCCUCCCCCCCUCCUUCGUGUCUUCCUCUGCAUGCUGUUGGGCCUGUUUGGCCUCCACUCUGCCCAUAACUCAAUGCAGAAACUGAGCAAAAGAAGUCAGCAACCAGUCUCUUACAGUGAGGAAGGUGUAGAUUGGCAAGCUGAAUCCCUCUUGACCCUGAAAAUGCCACAAAGUUGGCAGAAUUAAGAAAUAAUCGUAAUAAUGAUAAAGAAGAAGCAAAAGAAAUUCAGAAUAAGGGAAUGAAGCAUCAAUUUGGAUGAACACCCAACAAGCACCCAUUGAACUCAUACGUGUCCUUGGCAGCAGGCAGCACCGGCCUGACCUGGCAGGUCUGCAUCACUCCUCUACCUCCUGCCAUGGGAGCAGGGCAGGGGAGCUGUGGAGCUGCCCACGCUGUGGGGCUGCUGGAGCCAGAGGUCAGGAAG
This is a long non-coding RNA of Hirundo rustica (Barn swallow), 1405 nucleotides long. RefSeq lists it as uncharacterized. The record is from RefSeq and is a predicted model, not a curated record. NCBI's taxonomy places the organism in Eukaryota, Metazoa, Chordata, Aves, Passeriformes, Hirundinidae. The transcript has 3 exons.